AAGUAUGUAUGUAGCUGCAUACCUAAGUACUCCCUCAGAGUAUCUGUGUGGCCAGCAAACACAAGGCACUGGCAUCUGCUGUGGGAACACGAGGCCCUGGCGUGGGCAAACUGGAAGGGGCCAUGUGAGGCUGGAGCUCAUGUUGCUGGUGCUGGUGAAUCUUUGUGGGAUACCUUGGCUCCAGGUUACCUUACCUGUUGAUAAAACAGGAAUAAAAGCAGACAGCUUGCUUAAACUUCCCAAUCCUGUGCCUUUCCAACAUCAAGAGCUCUAUGCCUAA
Molecule: long non-coding RNA, 280 nt
Filed under: Cyanistes caeruleus (blue tit)
Lineage: Eukaryota; Metazoa; Chordata; Aves; Passeriformes; Paridae
Description: lncRNA (ENSCCEG00000019417.1)
Source: RNAcentral